Long non-coding RNA from Oreochromis niloticus (Nile tilapia), 112 nucleotides. RefSeq lists it as uncharacterized. NCBI's taxonomy places the organism in Eukaryota, Metazoa, Chordata, Actinopteri, Cichliformes, Cichlidae. The transcript is spliced from 3 exons. The record is from RefSeq and is a predicted model, not a curated record.
AAUGCAGAUCUUCCUGAUGUCAGAUUUACAUAAAUAUGUCAAAGUCUCAACCUCAUGCUGCCCUCCCCCAUCCUCCUAAACCUGUGGAUACAAAUGCAGAUUUCCUUAAUGU